RNAcentral lists this transfer RNA (73 nucleotides) under Lecanosticta acicola CBS 871.95. RNAcentral describes it as "tRNA-Arg (ACG) (tRNA-Arg-ACG-2-1)". It matches the Rfam family "tRNA". From Rfam's summary of the family: Transfer RNA (tRNA) molecules are approximately 80 nucleotides in length. Their secondary structure includes four short double-helical elements and three loops (D, anti-codon, and T loops). Further hydrogen bonds mediate the characteristic L-shaped molecular structure. tRNAs have two regions of fundamental functional importance: the anti-codon, which is responsible for specific mRNA codon recognition, and the 3' end, to which the tRNAs corresponding amino acid is attached (by aminoacyl-tRNA synthetases). tRNAs cope with the degeneracy of the genetic code in two manners: having more than one tRNA (with a specific anti-codon) for a particular amino acid; and 'wobble' base-pairing, i.e. permitting non-standard base-pairing at the 3rd anti-codon position. The record is from RNAcentral. Lineage: Eukaryota; Fungi; Ascomycota; Dothideomycetes; Mycosphaerellales; Mycosphaerellaceae.
AGCGUGUUAACUCAAUGGCUAGAGUAUUGUGCUACGGACACAAUGGUUGUAGGUUCGAAUCUUACACACGUUU